This 426-nucleotide unclassified non-coding RNA is filed under the name Hevea brasiliensis (rubber tree). Lineage: Eukaryota; Viridiplantae; Streptophyta; Magnoliopsida; Malpighiales; Euphorbiaceae. The record is from RNAcentral.
AAUCAUUUUCCUUAACAUGACAAGCAACAACAUGAGCUAAAUCACCAGCAAACACAACAGGAAUCAUCAAAACAGAGUUAUCAUCACUAUUCUCAUGAGCAACAACAGUACUAGCACAAUAUUUCCCAUCAGAGGAAGUUUCAAAAUGAACUGGGGUUUGCACAAAACCAACAAGAUUAACAGAAUUUGCAACUUUUGCUUGGUAAGGUAUCUCACUUGGCUUUGGCCAAGAAGACACAUCUUUUGCUUCAUCAUAAAUCUCAAUUCUUGGAUGGGUUAGCACAUAAGCUGAAGAGGGUUCUUGGGGUUUAGGGAUUUUGGGUUUUCUUGGCUUAGAAAUGGUUGUAGAGGCAAAUCUUGAACUGAGGGUUUGGAGUAAAAGUUGGCAUUUUUGAGGAGAUGAAGAGGAGAAUAAGGCCUUUUUUG